Molecule: ribosomal RNA, 253 nt
Filed under: uncultured bacterium
Lineage: Bacteria
Description: partial 16S ribosomal RNA
Rfam family: Bacterial small subunit ribosomal RNA
Source: RNAcentral
UACGAAGGGGGCGAGCGUUGUUCGGAAUUACUGGGCGUAAAGGGCGCGUAGGCGGCGACCCAAGUCAGAUGUGAAAGUCCUGGGCUUAACCUGGGGACUGCAUUUGAUACUGGGUUGCUUGAAUUCGGGAGAGGAUAGCGGAAUUCCCAGUGUAGAGGUGAAAUUCGUAGAUAUUGGGAAGAACACCGGUGGCGAAGGCGGCUAUCUGGACCGACAUUGACGCUGAGGAGCGAAAGCGUGGGGAGCGAACAGG